CAGGUGGAGGAGCAGAAAGAAGUUGGACGUGCUCUCCCAACGAGGUGUUGGUCAAUGCCCUUGUCAGCAGUGGCCGCACCUGUGUUCUUGUGUCCAAGGAGGACGAGGAGGCUUCAUACUUGGACCGAAAGCUCCAUGGGAAGUGUGUAAAAAACCUCCAUAUGCUCUGCUCACAAACUUGAUAUGGUCGAGCAAUUUUACUUCUGCUGUUUCUGAUGAAGUGUACGUGUGGCUCUUCAUUUCCCAUUAGGUACUGUGUCUGCUUUGAUCCCCUGGAUGGCUCCUCCAACAUCGACUGCGGCAUGCCCAUCGGAAUGGUAUGCGCACAAGUAAUUUCACCACUUAAAAGGUUUAACGGAACACACAAUUAAUAAGAAGUUGGAGUCACUAUCUGACUUGAUUUGAUUGUCGGGCACAUGGAUAAAACAUGAUAGUCCACUUGUUCCGGAAGAGACAAAAGGAGUCUGCCCCCCCUCCUCCUCUCGCGCGACCGCGUUGUCCCCGCGGGCGACCGGCCGUGCUCCGGCGCCCCCUCCUCUAGAGCCCCCCCUUCCCUCCCUCCCCGCCGCCGUCGCCGGCACCCGCGGCCGGGCCUGGCCCCUGGGUCGCUGGCGGCGGCGGCCUCUAGCCCUUCCCCUCUCGGUGCUCCCCGGCGUGGGGCGGUGUGCGCCGGGAGGUGCUCUUCGGCAGCGGCGGUCCGACGUGGCGGCGGAGAUCCUGGCGCGGCGUGGGUGAACGACUGGGCGACGGCGUCGCCGUUGGCGGCGGGGUGGCGCGGCGGCUCGGCUUGAACCAGCCCUCUCAGCCCAGAUCUAGGCCCUUCGGGCCCCAUCUGGGUUUGGGAGGGCCGACGGCGGGUCGGGCCGGCGGCGUGGCCUCCAGGAGGCGGGAGAGGGGCGUUGGCGGCUGGGAGCGGGCGGCGUAGGUGCCGGCUUGCUGCAGCAUGGCUGAUGGGGCUUUGCGGGCCCGUUGCAGGCCUGGCCGGGCCAAGGGUGGCCUGGUGUGCCCUGCUGCCACGUCCGGACGGCGACCGCGACGUCACCGGGGGCUCGGGCCUCCCGCGCGUCGGCGGGGGAGGUGGUUCCCUCCCGCUUGGCUUCGGUGUGGUUCCUCCCGUCGCUUGGUGCUUCUUUCCGGUCUCCUUGGCCUCAUGGUGGUGUUCGCAGCGGGGCGGCGUGGAUGUGUCCAAGACCGUGGUGGCGCGUGCUUGCGGGUGGCAAGAUGGUUGGAUGGCCCCGGUUCGAGUGGGUAGCGGUGCUUGGGGAUGCGGGAGAAAUCUCUGCCGGUUCAUCCGGCUCCGACGCGGUGACACCUGAGGAUGCCAUCAUUCCUUCCUGAAGGGCGUCGGCACUACCCAUCCCCCGCUCCCCUCCGUAUGCCGGGGGAAACCCUAGGACAUGUCCGGACAACAACGUCGUUGGCGUCGCAUUCCUUCUUGGAGGUGCUGCUUGGUAUGCGGCGGUCCGGUGCCAUGGCGUGUGGUGGGACGAAGAUGGAGGGCGCUGCGGUGGCGGAUCAUAUGUGCUUGCCGAGCUGCCGUUGUUGGCUUUUAUUUCUUCUUCUUUUUCCCUUUUGGGCGUGUUGUGCCGUUCGCCCCGGCAAUUACCCUGUGAUCGGUCUCUGGUGCUUUAUAAUAUAAAGCGGGGGAAACCUUUUUUCGGUUAAA
Molecule: long non-coding RNA, 1666 nt
Organism: Triticum aestivum (bread wheat)
Lineage: Eukaryota; Viridiplantae; Streptophyta; Magnoliopsida; Poales; Poaceae
Exons: 2
Source: RefSeq, a predicted model, not a curated record